This is a non-coding RNA of Paramuricea clavata, 334 nucleotides long. The record is from the annotation of a GenBank genome assembly. NCBI's taxonomy places the organism in Eukaryota, Metazoa, Cnidaria, Anthozoa, Malacalcyonacea, Plexauridae.
UGCAGGUGUAUAUAAUGAUCUAUAAACAGUCUUAUCGUUCGUAUGUGAUAACAUCAGUUAUAAUUUCAUUUAUAACCCUGCUGUAUAGCGUGUUUAUGCUCGAAAAAAAUUAUUGGAUCCACAAAAUCGUCGUGGACCGUCCCAGCAUACAGCCAUGUUUUCCAAGUAAAUCUACAGUUAUUUUCGUCCUUUGGCAAUCGUUUCUCAUUUUGGGUAGACUCUCAGCAAUUAUAUUGAACGUGAUUGUAUUUAGCGGUUCAAUUUCUAUUAUUAUCUGUGUUCAUUGGAUAAUCGUAGUUCUAGCUCUAAUGUUUUCUGUGACAGACAUAACGGC